This 407-nucleotide ribosomal RNA is filed under the name uncultured bacterium. RNAcentral describes it as "partial 16S ribosomal RNA". It matches the Rfam family "Bacterial small subunit ribosomal RNA", at positions 30 to 526 of the family's 1533-position model. The record is from RNAcentral.
AUUGAACGCUGGCGGCAGGCCUAACACAUGCAAGUCGAGCGGAGCGGCGGACGGGUGCGUAAUACCUAGGAAUCUGCCUGGUAGUGGGGGAUAACGUCCGGAAACGGGCGCUAAUACCGCAUACUAUCGGAUGCGCCUAGGUCGGAUUAGCUAGUUGGUGGGGUAAAGGCCGACCCAGGCGACGAUCCGUAACUGGUCUGAGAGGAUGAGCAGUCACACUGGAACUGAGACACGGUCCAGACUCCUACGGGAGGCAGCAGUGGGGAAUAUUGGACAAUGGGCGAAAGCCUGAUGCAGCCAUGCCGCGUGUGUGAAGAAGGUCUUCGGAUUGUAAAGCACUUUCAGUUGGGAGGCGUUACCAACAGAAUAAGCACCGGCUAACUUCGUGCCAGCAGCCGCGGUAAUUC